RNAcentral lists this ribosomal RNA (460 nucleotides) under uncultured bacterium. RNAcentral's name for it is "partial 16S ribosomal RNA". It matches the Rfam family "Bacterial small subunit ribosomal RNA", at positions 338 to 795 of the family's 1533-position model. The record is from RNAcentral.
CCUACGGGAGGCAGCAGUGAGGAAUAUUGGUCAAUGGACGAGAGUCUGAACCAGCCAAGUAGCGUGAAGGAUGACUGCCCUAUGGGUUGUAAACUUCUUUUAUAUGGGAAUAAAAUGUUCCACGUGUGGGAUUUUGUAUGUACCAUAUGAAUAAGGAUCGGCUAACUCCGUGCCAGCAGCCGCGGUAAUACGGAGGAUUCGAGCGUUAUCCGGAUUUAUUGGGUUUAAAGGGAGCGUAGGCGGAUUGUUAAGUCAGUUGUGAAAGUUUGGGGCUCAACCGUAACAUUGCAGGUGAAACUGGCAGUCUUGAGUACAGGAGAGGUAGGCGGAAUGCGUGGUGUAGCGGUGAAAUGCUUAGAUAUCACGAAGAACUCCGAUUGCGAAGGCAGUUCACUGGACUGCAACUGACACUGAGGCUCGAAAGUGUGGGUAUCAAACAGGAUUAGAUACCCCUGUAGUC